AAGUCUUCAUCUGCCCUGUUCUGACACAGAUCAGAGCACUCAAAUACUCUCCUCCUCCCCUUGGUUUGCAGGUGUGUGUGUGUGUGUGUGUGUGUGUGCAAACCUGGCCUCAGCAAAGCACCUGCUGCUUCUGCAAAUGGCUGAUUGCUUGAGUCAUUAACCCUUGUCAUUCCAGUCUCUCACACUGGCCCAUGGUUUGUUCUCUUCAUGCUUUCCCCAGGUCAGAUACUCCUUGCCUGGGCAGAAGCUGGACCUGACCCUGGAGACAUUCUGUUUGCUUGGCUAUCAGGGCAGUGUGAUAGCUUGGCAUCAUGGCUCUCAGCAGCUGCUGACAAAACCAGCUGUGACACAGCAGUUCUGCCCAUUUAUGCAUAGAUUUUUAUGCAGACCAGUCCCUGCAAACCUGUGCAAAAUGAGAUGACUUUGCUGAAUCAAAACAGUACUGUAAAAGACUACUCAUACGUGCAGGAUCCUAUCAGUACUUUUGGAAAAUGUGUGGGUAUUGAUGUGAAAACCAAAAUAAGUAUGUUGAAAACCCACAUAUGAAGCUUCUGCAGGACAUUUCUAGAGCCAGGAAAAACAUUCAUCAACAUUUUUUCUCAAAACAACCAGCAGUACCACAAGAAACAACAGCUCUAAGGACAGACACUCCAUUGCUGAAUAUAUAUUGAAUGAUGUGUCUGCUACUACCAUCCAUUCUCCUGACAUUCUACUAGGAAUUUGGUGCACUGCCUGAAAACCUUCCAGGAAAUCUGAGAGGGUUAAUUCUUAAGUCACAUAUUUGAUGUCUAUGGGAAGUGUUGUUUGCCCUUCUGAUGAAUCUUCCUCAGCUUUCUUGCUUGGAGAAGUUCAACACCUCUGUGUUCAGCAAAUAAUUUUCUUUUAAGACUAAAAGAUGAUGUGUGUGUUUCAAACACUUUACUCAAGCAACUUUUCAAGAAGCAUUAGUUUCUUGAGAAGCUGAAUUAAUCUGAUUUAAAGGCUAUUCAAUUUUUAUGAAAUAAAAGCAAAUUUAGUCAAUCA
RNAcentral lists this long non-coding RNA (1023 nucleotides) under Parus major (Great Tit). Its description in RNAcentral is "lncRNA (ENSPMJG00000010916.1)". The record is from RNAcentral. Lineage: Eukaryota; Metazoa; Chordata; Aves; Passeriformes; Paridae.